GACGAACGCUGGCGGCGCGCCUAACACAUGCAAGUCGAACGGAGUCAAGAGGAGCUUGCUUUUCUUGACUUAGUGGCGAACGGGUGAGUAACGCGUGAGUAACCUGCCCUUGAGUGGGGGACAACAGUUGGAAACGACUGCUAAUACCGCAUAAGCCCACGGAUCUGCAUGGAUCUGCGGGAAAAGGAUUUAUUCGCUCUAGGAUGGACUCGCGUCCAAUUAGCUAGUUGGUGAGGUAACGGCCCACCAAGGCGACGAUUGGUAGCCGGACUGAGAGGUUGAACGGCCACAGUGGGACUGAGACACGGCCCAGACUCCUACGGGAGGCAGCAGUGGGGGAUAGUGCACAAUGGGGGAAACCCUGAUGCAGCGACGCCGCGUGGAGGAAGAAGGUUUUCGGAUUGUAAACUCCUGUCGUUAGGGACGAUAAUGACGGUACCUAACAAGAAAGCACCAGCUAACUACGUG
This 468-nucleotide ribosomal RNA is filed under the name uncultured bacterium. Its description in RNAcentral is "partial 16S ribosomal RNA". It matches the Rfam family "Bacterial small subunit ribosomal RNA", at positions 28 to 507 of the family's 1533-position model. The record is from RNAcentral.